UUGGAGGGUGGUUACUGGAUUUAGCGGGCAUGGGCUCCUUUUCGUCCGUGCUCUCUGGUUAAAUCCAGUGCCGUCGCGCUUCUUGUAAGUCUCAGCGAGAGAAUGCGAAGGGGAGAGGCAGGACCAAAGCUGAGGCGAAUCCAGUAGCAUGCCGAUGCGUCUCCAGGUAUGUGACCUCAGAGGAGCUUGAAUGAGAAUGUAAUACCAAGAUAAGUCGACUUUCAAUUCAACUGACUCUUUCCUGCAAGAUCCUUUGCCGCAAUGGGGGAAUUAAGAAGGGAAUAAGCUGGCAAGAAUGAGUCAAACAUUUCCAAGCAAGAUUGUUUUUUUUCCCUUCUUGUUUACUUUAUCCAGACUCUAGCCAAAAAGAUUCAUCUCAAGGAAAUGCCAGACUUUUUCCAAAGUGGCUGCCAUUUUACAUUCCCACGAGCGAUGGGCGAGGGUUCCAGUUUCUCCACAUUCUCAUGGGUGUGAAGUGGUAUCAUUGUGGCGGUUGCCCUUUUCUAAGGACUCAAAGUUUGUAAGAAACUUGCUAGAGGAUGCUCCUUGAGUGCAGAGACAAUGUCUAAGGUGAAUUUGUGUUUUCAAUCCCUGGCGCGCAAAUAGAUACAUGUGUUUCUGCUGCAUUGUUUCCUGAUAAUAUGGCUCGCACAUUAUUCUGACAAUAUUCUUCUAAUUAUUAAUUACAGAUGAAUUACAGAAAACUGCUAUGUUGCAGAACUGUAGACCUGCUAAAUGAAAAUAACCCACUUACUUUACAGAAGCCACAAGGGGUCGCUGCUCUUGGUAUUUUUAGUGUACUUUUGGAUAGGGAAGUAUGCAGUCCCUUAUAAAUGGAAUCAUUGAUUUUGAGUUGUAUUUAUGUAUUUUUACAUUUGCUUAUAAGUUGUACAUGCUUUUUGUUGCUAUUUUUUAUUGUUUUACUGGUGACAUUGAAGUUCUCAAUUUAAUCAUUUGAUUACAUCUUUGCUUCCUUUGAUAACUUCAUAUCCAAUGAUUAAACUUUUUUACUGCUGUUCACAUAAUGAACUGUUGUGAUUACUGCAUAUGUAAAUGAGGAUAUGUCAGCUGUAUUAAAGAUGUUAUUUGUCAAAAGCAUUGACCAGUGCAGAUAUAAUUUAAAAUAAAAUAUCUCUUUUCAGGAAUUAUAUUCUUGGAGAUGUUGGGAAAAGAUUCCUGGGUCUUGGAAGAUAAUUACUAGAAAUAUGCAGGGGAGGAAUAAAAUUGAAGGGUGUUUUUCUUAGAGAACACCAUUUGUCCGAUUUAUCAGGAAUUCGAAGAUUUAUAUAAGGAACAGAAAGCCGCUGAUGGUUGAAAUGGAGCAUUUACUUCUUUGGAUUGAGGACUGUAAUCAAAAACAAAUCCCAGUCAGUUUGGCAUUGAAGUUAGUUGCUGCAUUGAAGGAAAAUGGUAAUUACAAGGACAUGUAUUUACUGCCAGUGAAGGCUGGUUUCAUUGUUUCAGAAGUCAACAUGAAUUGAUUAAUGUUAAGCUACCUGGUGAAGCUACAAGCUCAGAUAAGGAUGCUACUGUGAAAUUUGCACUCAAGAUUCCAAGAAUUACAGGCAGUCCUUGCUUUGCACAGUAGUGAGAGGCUGUACUAUGCAAAAAACUGCAGGAUUUGGAUGGGAUGUAAAUGGAGUUAGAAGAUAAAUAUGAUCCUGGGAAUGUUGACACUGGUGCCAUUCAAGAAAUAGUUCUAGAUAUGCAGGAGGCAGAACGUAGUGAAGGCAAAUAUAAAGUUUUACGUGAGUAAAGCAGUUGUAAAGGAUGAACGUGUCUCAGAAGUCAUGCUGUUGAAAAACUUCACAUUGAAGGAACUUUCAGAGAUGUUUCAUGACAUUGACGGCACAAAGUAUAAAAUUUUGGAAGCUGAUUCAAACUUAGAAAGGAGUAUGACAGUUUGCCAAGGCAGAGAUAAGAUGCACACUCCAUGUUAUAAGUCAUAUAAUGUGAAGAAAGCAAGCACUUUUCAAACUACUUGAUACAUUUUUUAUAAAGAAAUAAAACAUUGUAAUUUUCA
Non-coding RNA from Delphinapterus leucas (beluga whale), 2023 nucleotides. Lineage: Eukaryota; Metazoa; Chordata; Mammalia; Artiodactyla; Monodontidae. The record is from RefSeq and is a predicted model, not a curated record.